This is a long non-coding RNA of Myotis lucifugus (little brown bat), 2558 nucleotides long. RefSeq lists it as uncharacterized. Lineage: Eukaryota; Metazoa; Chordata; Mammalia; Chiroptera; Vespertilionidae. The transcript has 2 exons. The record is from RefSeq and is a predicted model, not a curated record.
GGUGUAGAGGCUCCUUUAAUUACUUAGUAAAUAUUCCAGGUGAUUCUUAUGAUCAGGAAGAUUGGGGAAACACUAGCGCCCUAUUUAUAGAUUUGUCUGCAGAGUGGAAUCACUGAGGAAACUUCAAAAAUUAGCAAAUCUUCUGUCCCACCCAAGACUGAUUUGAUUGAUUGUGCUGCUCUGUGCCCUAGGGAUUGGAUAUUUAAAGAUUCUCCCGGUGAUUCCAAUGGACAAAUGAGUUGGGGGAAUACUUCACUUUGUUACCGGGAUGUGGCACACAAGGAAGGCGUCACAAAGCCAAUGCCAUCCAAGGACUCCCCUGCUCGGAUCCAUCAAAAACCUACCAGAUAAAGGUAUUUCAGUCAGACAGCUUGGCAUUCUUCAGAGAACUCUCUAAUACAAGGUCUUGACUUAUCCUGGAAACAUCACAACCAAACUGGAGAUAGCUGAGGCAGUGGGGCUGCACUGAAGAUGAAGGAACUGUCUUGCAGAAAGUUUAAGCGGCUUUUCUGAAAGCACACAGUCAUCUAAGUGGCCUGAUGCUUCAAUUUUUUUUUCCCGGUGAGUGGAGGAAUGAUGAAUUUAUGUAACCUACAGAAAGAGACGAUCUCUUAAGAUGACUAUAUUCCUCUGUAAGGGCUGCCAUAACAGUGCCACUAACUGGGUGGCUUAAGCAACAGAAAUGAAUUGCCUCACGGAAGGCCAAAGUCCAAAACCAGGUUGUGGCAGGCUGGUGCCUCCCGAGCCCUGGGAAAGAAGGGAUCUGUUUCAGGUCCCUCUCCUUGCCUUGCAGACGGCCAUGUGCACGUGCACACGGCGUUCUCCAUGUCUUCCUGUCUUCUUCCCUCUGAGCAUGUCUGUGCCCAAAUUUCCCCUUCUAAUAAAAACAGCAGUCAUAUUGGAUCAGGGCCCACACGGAUGACCUCACUAUUACCUGGCCUCUGUAAAAACCCUAUCUCCACAUAAGAUCAUAUUCUGAGGUCCUUGGAGUUAAAACUGCAGCCUACAACUGUUGGUGGGACACAGUUCAACCCAUGACAAUGACCUUGACCUCAUAUCCAAGAACGUGACAUGGCUGGUCUCCUAACUGCUAGGAAGACAAGUGCUGGGAUUGAGAGUCGAGUAUCUGCCAAGCCCACCUUUCUUUUAAGAGACCUGCUCCGCUAUAGAGGUCAGUCCUCAGCAGUCACUUUAGAGCCUCGUGAACCUUGACCUUUGUUAAUUGUUCCACAGUGGGCACGUUACUCAGCGAAGGUACUCAGAUUCACCUGGGAAUUUCUAAUUGGUGGACCAAGGGCAGCUGCUCUGUCCGGUUGGGUUGCUGGACUGGAUACACAUGAACGCAGCAGCCCUGGGCAGCUCCUCCGGGCCUGGCCUUCGCCCGACCCAAUCCAUGUUGUUGUAGGUUCUCCUUAGGGUUCUAGGAGAACCUACUACACUUUCAAUAAAUUCUCCUCUCUCUUUCUCUCUCGUUAUUUGUGUGUAUGUCUCCUGAAAAAGUUUAACAUCUAUUUCUCUUCCUGGCAGCAACAACAAAAAACUUAGGUAAGAGAAGCACAGCUUGAUAGAUAACAAUGUUAUCAGACAUUGUUUUUAAUAAACGUUUCUCUUUGAAUCCGAACAUAUAGAAAAAAUAGGCAGAGCUAAUUCUCAUGAACUCUGAUCCACCAGAGUCCCCCCCAGAUCCACCCCACAGCCAUCCUGCCACUGAGGGAUCUCUCUGCAACCGAGUCUUUUUAUAAAUUGUGGCUUAAAAACCAUGGCAGCUCGGUGCCCCCUCAUUCCUAGGUGUUUCUAUUUUAUUUUGGGUAUGCUAAAAAUAUAUUGAUUUCAUUCAAAAGUAACUGAGUUUAAGAAAAUUAUUUUCUAUGCCUAAAAAGAAGCCUGGGAGAGCCAAUACGUUUUCAAAUAGAUGAGAACACAACAUGAGGUGAGCUGAGCAAAAUUUCCCGCAAGGUCCUUAGGAGACAAGGGGCUUCAUAUUUCUGACUGUAUCUCUUGUUUAUUCAAAUUUCCAGGGCCUAUUUGUCAUUUUCAGUAACACAGAGUUUGAUAACUAAAGGAAAGUAGAUUCUAAUUGCAAAUAAUUGGUUACUAUUAUAAAAGUGGCAGUGUUUAAAAAUAUGUGAAUGCUGUUAUUAAUUCAGCAAGAUGUGUUAAUAAUUAUUAGUAUCUUUCUCUUAUUUUUGUGAUGAUCCUGAAUUGCUCCAUGGUCCUUCUUUUCAACAGGAAUGUGUCCUGAUGGUUCAUCUUUAAUUGGUUAUUCUUUUUGGACUUAAAAAAAAAUCAUGGGUAGAAACCAAAAGGCCUAAACUGCCUUUAAAUUUCUUUUUAGAUUAUUGGAGUGACAUUGGUUAAUAAAAUUAUAUAGGUUUCAGAUGUACAAUUCUAUAUACAUCAUCUGUAUAUUGUAUUGUGUGUUUACCACCCCAAGCAAGUCUCCUUCCAUCACCAUUUAUUACCCCCUUCUAUCUUCUCCCAACCCCCUUCUCUCUGAUCUAAAUAAACUUACUGGUCCUUAGACUCUUUGUCUGUAAAAUAAAAGGUCUAAGCUAUAA